This 499-nucleotide long non-coding RNA is filed under the name Mytilus galloprovincialis (Mediterranean mussel). Lineage: Eukaryota; Metazoa; Mollusca; Bivalvia; Mytilida; Mytilidae. The record is from RNAcentral.
GCCUUGAUCCUUACAACCAGGUUGCAAUUCAUAACGGUAAAAUGUGCAUGGUAUAAAUAGAAUAGUUCAAGGAAUAACAAAAAUUUAUUAAACUUAAAUGCAUUUUUUAUUUUGCCUUCCAGUAAAAAAAUAUGAAUUUGACUGAUUCAUUGUGAUUGUUGGUUGUUUUGACAUGCCACUUCCAACCACAUUGACCAAGUUCAAACCAAAACCCCAUGUUAAAACUUCGUACCAAAACUUUUCAUAGGCUCUUAUUUGGUCAAAUAGAUCUUUAACUGAUUCCAUUCUUAUACAUUCUUUAAUAAUAGAUCAGUCUUAAUAUGUUUUGAAAAAAAGCAGCAAAGAGCUUUGUAUACAUGAAAUUUUUAAUGUCCGGUUUUCAUGUCUUACAUGUUUAAUUAUUGCAAUUGUUUAAUGCAGGACACACAUGCAAGAUUAGUUAUUGCAAAAGCAAUAAUUGCUACAAACUAAUAAUGAUUUUGGAAAAAAAAUAGUUUUU